RNAcentral lists this ribosomal RNA (398 nucleotides) under uncultured bacterium. RNAcentral describes it as "bacterial SSU rRNA". It matches the Rfam family "Bacterial small subunit ribosomal RNA", at positions 28 to 420 of the family's 1533-position model. The record is from RNAcentral.
GACGAACGCUGGCGGCGUGCCUAACACAUGCAAGUGGAGCGACGAACCAGUCUUCGGCCUGGGGCAAAGCCGCGAACGGGUGAGUAACACGUGGGUAACCUGCCCUGAUGAUUGGGACAACCCGAGGAAACUCGGGCUAAUACCAAAUGUGCCCUUCGGCCACAAGGCCGCUGGGGAAAGGAAGCUUCGGCCUCCGCAUCUGGAUGGGCCCGCGGCCCAUUAGCUUGUUGGUGAGGUAACGGCNCACCAAGGCGACGAUGGGUAGCUGGUCUGAGAGGACGAUCAGCCACACUGGGACUGAGACACGGCCCAGACUCCUACGGGAGGCAGCAGUGGGGAAUCUUGCGCAAUGCGCGAAAGCGUGACGCAGCAACGCCGCGUGGGGAAGACGGCCUGGU